AUUUAUAUAGUUUAAAUAAAACCUUACACUUUCAAUGUAAAAAUAAAAAAUUUUUUUUUAUAAAUA
Molecule: transfer RNA, 66 nt
Filed under: Limenitis cleophas
Lineage: Eukaryota; Metazoa; Arthropoda; Insecta; Lepidoptera; Nymphalidae
Description: tRNA-Glu
Source: RNAcentral